RNAcentral lists this ribosomal RNA (521 nucleotides) under uncultured bacterium. Its description in RNAcentral is "bacterial SSU rRNA". It matches the Rfam family "Archaeal small subunit ribosomal RNA", at positions 345 to 866 of the family's 1478-position model. The record is from RNAcentral.
AACCUCCGCAAUGUACGAAAGUGCGACGGGGGGAUCCCAAGUGUUAUGCUUUUUUGUAUAACUUUUCAUUAGUGUAAAAAGCUUUUAGAAUAAGAGCUGGGCAAGACCGGUGCCAGCCGCCGCGGUAACACCGGCAGCUCUAGUGGUAGCAGUUUUUAUUGGGCCUAAAGCGUCCGUAGCCGGUUUAAUAAGUCUCUGGUGAAAUCCUGUAGCUUAACUGUGGGAAUUGCUGGAGAUACUAUUAGACUUGAGACCGGGAGAGGUUAGAGGUACUCCCAGGGUAGAGGUGAAAUUCUGUAAUCCUGGGAGGACCGCCUGUUGCGAAGGCGUCUAACUGGAACGGUUCUGACGGUGAGGGACGAAAGUUAGGGGCGCGAACCGGAUUAGAUACCCGGGUAGUCCUAACCGUAAACGAUGCGGACUUGGUGUUGGGGUGGCUUUGAGCUGCUCCAGUGCCGAAGGGAAGCUGUUAAGUCCGCCGCCUGGGAAGUACGGUCGCAAGACUGAAACUUAAAGGAAUU